Molecule: ribosomal RNA, 449 nt
Filed under: uncultured bacterium
Lineage: Bacteria
Description: partial 16S ribosomal RNA
Rfam family: Bacterial small subunit ribosomal RNA
Source: RNAcentral
AACGAACGCUGGCGGCAUGCCUAACACAUGCAAGUCGAACGAGAUCUUCGGGUCUAGUGGCGCACGGGUGCGUAACGCGUGGGAAUCUGCCCUUUGGUUCGGAAUAACAGUUGGAAACGACUGCUAAUACCGGAUGAUGACGAAAGUCCAAAGAUUUAUCGCCAGAGGAUGAGCCCGCGUAGGAUUAGCUAGUUGGUGUGGUAAAGGCGCACCAAGGCGACGAUCCUUAGCUGGUCUGAGAGGACGAUCAGCCACACUGGGACUGAGACACGGCGCAGUGUCCUACGGGAGGCAGCAGUGGGGAAUAUUGGACAAUGGGCGAAAGCCUGAUCCAGCAAUGCCGCGUGAGUGAUGAAGGCCUUAGGGUUGUAAAGCUCUUUUACCCGGGAUGAUAAUGACAGUACCGGGAGAAUAAGCUCCGGCUAACUCCGUGCCAGCCGCCGCGGUAA